Long non-coding RNA from Bufo bufo (common toad), 132 nucleotides. RefSeq lists it as uncharacterized. The record is from RefSeq and is a predicted model, not a curated record. The transcript is spliced from 3 exons. Lineage: Eukaryota; Metazoa; Chordata; Amphibia; Anura; Bufonidae.
GAAUAGAGAUGAGCGAAUUUCAUGACUCCCCUCCAUAACGGAAACGGGACGGAUCUGUUUUGCCGCCCAUAGACUUAUUAUGACGAAAUGAAUAACGGAAUACCUCUAAAGGCAUUUCAUAUAAUUGUGGUA